This 82-nucleotide transfer RNA is filed under the name Salibacteraceae bacterium. RNAcentral describes it as "tRNA-Tyr". It matches the Rfam family "tRNA". From Rfam's summary of the family: Transfer RNA (tRNA) molecules are approximately 80 nucleotides in length. Their secondary structure includes four short double-helical elements and three loops (D, anti-codon, and T loops). Further hydrogen bonds mediate the characteristic L-shaped molecular structure. tRNAs have two regions of fundamental functional importance: the anti-codon, which is responsible for specific mRNA codon recognition, and the 3' end, to which the tRNAs corresponding amino acid is attached (by aminoacyl-tRNA synthetases). tRNAs cope with the degeneracy of the genetic code in two manners: having more than one tRNA (with a specific anti-codon) for a particular amino acid; and 'wobble' base-pairing, i.e. permitting non-standard base-pairing at the 3rd anti-codon position. The record is from RNAcentral. Lineage: Bacteria; Pseudomonadati; Bacteroidota; Flavobacteriia; Flavobacteriales; Salibacteraceae.
GGGGGGAUACUCAAGCGGCCAACGAGGGCAGACUGUAAAUCUGCUGACCAUGUCUUCGCAGGUUCGAAUCCUGCUCCCCCCA